AAAAUCAAUGAAUUCGAGAAAAUAGUGAAAACACGGAAAAAUACUUUUGAUUAUUUUUUUAAUAAAAGUAGUUAAAUCAAAUACAAGUAAAACAAUGUGCAGCCCAAUACAAUGCUUGCCAAGUUACAAGGAACCCCCAACAUACAUUCCUUGCAUCCCUAUCAGGGGUCCGUCAUGUCUUCCUUGUGGGAUGGACAAUUGGACGGUCCGCCGACCCCUGAUAGUGCAUGACAGCACGUUCGACUACAGACCUACCAGCUGGCCCGGGAUGGUACUCAACAACCAGGAUAAGAAAGUUCGGUACCAACUCAUCAAUUACGAACGGCCGGUGAAAUCACACUAUCCUUCAUGUGCUCCUUCAUACAACACCUGUUAAGGGCUGUGGCGGCUGUCGACCAGCGCCGUGUUGUCAUCCGUGCAGGCCCUGCUGCGGCGGUGGAUCCCUCGUCACAGUAUACAGUCAAGUAGCACAUAUCCAGUGACCAGUGCCGCACCACCGCACUCGCGAUCACUUACCAAAUGCUGUACUAGCGCUGGGCCAGCCGCCAAGACCUAUUGCAGCAUUCGACAAAGCAGUCAUUGAAAUUCGUUAAAUGCUGGCUGAGUUAUUCAUUGACUUGCAAGUAUUUUCGUCCGGUGAAAGUUCUGUACCGUCACGUACCAUAAAGUGGUUGUAUAUUACGUAAAAGU
Non-coding RNA from Spodoptera litura, 690 nucleotides. NCBI's taxonomy places the organism in Eukaryota, Metazoa, Arthropoda, Insecta, Lepidoptera, Noctuidae. The record is from RefSeq and is a predicted model, not a curated record.